This 469-nucleotide ribosomal RNA is filed under the name uncultured bacterium. Its description in RNAcentral is "bacterial SSU rRNA". It matches the Rfam family "Bacterial small subunit ribosomal RNA", at positions 1 to 524 of the family's 1533-position model. The record is from RNAcentral.
UAGAGUUUGAUCCUGGCUCAGAACGAACGCUGGCGGCAGGCUUAACACAUGCAAGUCGAGCGCCCCGCAAGGGGAGCGGCAGACGGGUGAGUAACGCGUGGGAACGUACCUUUUGCUACGGAAUAACUCAGGGAAACUUGUGCUAAUACCGUAUGUGCCCUUCGGGGGAAAGAUUUAUCGGCAAAGGAUCGGCCCGCGUUGGAUUAGCUAGUUGGUGAGGUAAAGGCUCACCAAGGCGACGAUCCAUAGCUGGUCUGAGAGGAUGAUCAGCCACACUGGGACUGAGACACGGCCCAGACUCCUACGGGAGGCAGCAGUGGGGAAUAUUGGACAAUGGGCGCAAGCCUGAUCCAGCCAUGCCGCGUGAGUGAUGAAGGCCCUAGGGUUGUAAAGCUCUUUCACCGGUGAAGAUAAUGACGGUAACCGGAGAAGAAGCCCCGGCUAACUUCGUGCCAGCAGCCCCGGUCAA